Ostrea edulis (European flat oyster) is the source of this 2723-nucleotide long non-coding RNA. RefSeq lists it as uncharacterized. The record is from RefSeq and is a predicted model, not a curated record. The transcript has 3 exons. NCBI's taxonomy places the organism in Eukaryota, Metazoa, Mollusca, Bivalvia, Ostreida, Ostreidae.
ACUAAUUGUCCCUGGGCUACUGCUAGGGAGUCUUUCACCAGUAUCCGCAGUUUGUGGAGAUACUAUGUCUUUCCUGCAAAGAGACAAUGAGACAGCUUUUUAUAUCGUUCAUAUUACACCUACCUACGCACAUUUCUGUAGAAAUGAAUGCUUGAUUUUUAUUGGCUGGCUGGCUGGCUGGAAUUAUGAAUGAAUGUGUCUGUCAGGAAAAUUAGUGACAUUUGUAAAACAUAAAUGAGUAUAAGAAGAAAGGGUAGUCUGGUGCAAGAAAGGGUAGUCAGGUAUAGUACAUCUGACAGUGUAUUAAAAACAGAAACAAAUGACUACAUCCAGAGCUAUGGUGGAGCUUCCGUAUUUAAUUUUAUCCAUAUACUUUGGUUCCCAGCAAAAUCAUCUGGAUAAAUGAAGCAUCCAGAUUUUCAUAUAUGUUUACUUUGUUGAUGUGUAAUAUGAAAUAAACACACUAUCAUUAUGCACCUAAUUAGGAAUGUCUUCACAGGACAAAAAGAACCAUUUUCAUCAGGCAACACCUAAUUAGGGAAGUCUUCACAGGACAUUAAAGGAAUCAUUUUCAUCAGGCAACAAGUAAAAACUGACCAUUUGGAUCUGGGGAACGAGAAUUUCCGGAUUUGGAAUGCAAAAUAUAGUGUUCCCGUUAAAACUUGUCCAAGAGUUGAAGUGUCCUAAGUAUAUGUUCUAAUUUUUGGAGCAAGGUGAUGCUUUUUACUUAGGGACCUGCCUGUGUCAAUGACCUUGAUGAAGCAAUACUGACCACUGGCCAGGGCAAUGGCCAGGGAUAUAUUUACACAGGGAGAUCCCUGCCUGAGCUAUUAGCUGAACAUCUGAGAAAUAAAAAUUAAGAUCAGCCUGUAAGAUCCCACACACAGGGCUUAAGUCGUGAACAGGAAGUGCUCCAACCUUCAACAAAAUUUUUUCUUCAUCUUUUGCAAUUUUGUAAUAUCCUUCAAAUAUUCUAGUUUCUAAUGAAAAUGCAAGACUAUGUAAAUGAACGUUAUUUUAAGCAACAGAUUCAAAGUAUGCAGUAAUUAAUGGCUAACAUGGACAGAGGGAAAUUUUUGCUAUCAUCCAUUUUUUGCAGCACCUGCAUGUUUAGUCAUAUUCCAUAUAUAUAGGGAUAUAUACAUGUUUGUAUAUGUAUUUAAUGAUAAUAUCAAAGAACAUGACUAUAGCGAGUUUACCUUUAAAUAUCAGAGUUUGAUUUCAAUUUCGUGGAGUUUUUCUUCUUAUCGUAUACAGAGUUUUAUACAAUUGAGAAAUUUAUGAACUUCAAUAGAUUUUUUUAAGCAGUGCGAUUAAGAGUGGUCGUUGUUCCUGAGAUAAUUUUUAAAUCACUGAUUCCAGAGUAAAUCAUCAAACACCCCCUGUAUUAAAAGUUUAUUCAUUGGUGUUUUAUUUCCUCUCUUGGGCAAGAAAUGCCAGUUUAUUUAAACUCCUCUUCCCAUAAAACAUUUGUUUGGUCAGUGAGAGAUCUGUCGGGUCAAAUUAACUUUUGAGUGAGAUUACAACAUGGCUAGAUGUUUGACCGUGUGACUCACAUUUAAACACUCCUCAUAGUGGACAAGUUAAAACAGCUUCGUUUGGUGGAGAUAAGACAGGUACUAAAAUAUUAUAGCCCUUGUUCUUAUGCAACUUUAUAGAUAAAGUUCACAUAAUUUGUUAAUUAUACAAAUCCUUUGAAAACCUCCAGAAAUCAUUAAUCAAAAUUCCCUAUAAUCUGGGAGGGAUUUUUGACACCCAAUUAUGAUGCUAUAGUUAUGUAAUAUUGGAAAUUAAUUUCCAAAAUGUUAAAGAAGAUUUAGAAUGAUGUGUAUAAUUAAUUGAUUUAUUUCUGUAUUAGUAUUUGGAUUUGGGUUCCGAUAAUUAGUUUUCGUAAUUAUCAAGUUUUACAAGAAUUUUUUCCAAAACAAAAAAGGACACUGAAAAGUUAGAAUCAAGAAGUUAUACUGUGGAAUCAAAAGAGCUGCAGGAGCUCAAUUGUCAUGGAUUCCGUGGGUACCCCAUCCCACAUUUCUAAUCCACAAUGAAAUACACAAAAAUGUACAGAAACCAUACCCAUGAAAUCACAUCCCAAUUGAACUUUAAAAUCUCAACAAAUCCCACCCACCCCCACCCCCGAAUUAUUUAAAUAUUCCACAGUAUUAUAUAAAGUCAAAGUUAGAUCUAUUCUGUGUAAUUCUUAUAUAAAGUCAAAGUUAGAUCUAUUCUGUGUAAUUCUUAUAUAAAGUCAAAGUUAGAUAUAUUCUGUGUAAUUCUUAUAAAUGUAUUAUAUUUUGCUUACUUCUUUUUAGGAAUUUUUUUUUAAAUAUAUGACAAAACAAAAUCUACACAAUAUAUUGUCCUCUCGCUCAUUACUAAUUUUUUUAUAUGCUUUAAGAUUUCAUUUAUCAGUCUUAUGGUGUAGGAUAUUGGGCACAAUUUAUUCAUCAAGCUGGUUGCAAUUUAGUAGAUCAAAGUUGAAAACAGACUUAGAUUAUUGAUGAGUUCUAGAAAGGGAGACAAUUAGAUUGAAUAGUUUGUGAACUUUCCAUUCUUUAUAAGCUAGACCAAGGUGGCAAACGUAUACUGUGUUUAUUCUACAUUUAUUUUAUACAACUUUGAAAUGUUUUCAUAGUGUUCUAAAUAUAUUUAUUAAAGAUUUGAAUUUUUUAUGCAUAUAUUCUUUUUAACUGUAUUUUAAAUGCAACUUAAUGCAUUAGAAGCUU